RNAcentral lists this transfer RNA (77 nucleotides) under Erysipelotrichaceae bacterium. RNAcentral describes it as "tRNA-Arg". It matches the Rfam family "tRNA". Rfam says of the family: Transfer RNA (tRNA) molecules are approximately 80 nucleotides in length. Their secondary structure includes four short double-helical elements and three loops (D, anti-codon, and T loops). The record is from RNAcentral. Lineage: Bacteria; Bacillati; Bacillota; Erysipelotrichia; Erysipelotrichales; Erysipelotrichaceae.
GCGUCAGUAGCUCAACUGGAUAGAGUAUUAGACUUCGAAUCUAAGGGUUGCGGGUUCGACUCCUGCCUGGCGCGCCA